Non-coding RNA from Bactrocera oleae (olive fruit fly), 1166 nucleotides. The record is from RefSeq and is a predicted model, not a curated record. Lineage: Eukaryota; Metazoa; Arthropoda; Insecta; Diptera; Tephritidae.
CGCCUUCUCGCAUUCAGGAGAAACUAUUCGCAAACACAGUGACAUUUAAAACUGAAAAAGAAAUAGAAUACGUGAAACGAACGAGCAACGCCCACUUGCAUAGAUCACCAGCACAUAGCGGACCACAGAGGACGUGGGAAAUUGCAAGCUCAGUAGUUUGUAGCGCAUUUGCAGUCCAAACUUGAGACACUUGCAAACGGUAAAUACUUUAAAAUGCAAAAUAAAACUAAAUGAGAAUAGAAGUAAAGAAGAAGAAUGUCUAAACUAAGUGAGUGUAUAGCUUUUGACUGUCAGCAGAAACAAGAAAUUUAUAUACAAUAAAUAAUGUACAUAUAAUUUUUUCUAAAAACAAAUACAAAAACAAAGCUGGCGAGCAAAACGAGCACAAUGUAACUAGAAUAUGGUUAUUAUAGUUUCGUGUUGAUAUGCAAUUUAAUGGCAAAAAUCUGAGAUCAAGACCAACAAGUGCCAUGAGACAAAAGAAUUAAAAAAUAUAUUUGAGUUAAAAAAUGCCGCUGCAGCAGCGAUUUCUACAAAGGCACUGCUAAAGUUACUCGCAAGUAGGAAGCGAGCGGCGAGUUAACUGCGGUGCGCAGUGUUGCAUGCACAGCAAUUCUUACGCUAGAAGACAAUUGAUUUGCACGGAAGUGCGCGCAGCGUUGACAGUUAAUUUUAAUGAUGCACGAAAUUCAGAACGCACGUGCUGGGCGAAAUAUAAAAGCAGGAAAAGCAGAUGAAAGUAAGCCAAUAGCUUAAUAAAUACGAAUGGAUAUACAGUGGUGAUGAGAAUAAUUGCAAUGCAAGCGGAGUAUGAAGAUCUCAAUCAAUAAUUGUUAAUGAAACACGACUUCAGCCGUUUUCAACUUUGAAGAAGAAAAAGAUUGUUUCUGUACUGAAAAUAGGAAAUCUUGUUCCAAGAAAAGCUAAAAGUGAACUCUAUGUGUUAGCAAUGCCAAUAUAAGCUAAAGUCUCCGAUAAUUCAAAAAUAACUGCAGAUGUUGUUUGAACUGACGUACUUAUAGCGUCCAACUGGUCAAAAAUAUAUUCUAAGCUAUAAAAAUUCCAUAUUUGAGAACGAAAUUUGUCAUUCCUACGACAGUAAGUAACCAGGAUAUAUAUGUUAAUUUAAGGUAUAUAUGGUACACACGGAUUUAUAUCCAAAGCAU